CCUACGGGUGGCUGCAGUGGGGAAUAUUGCACAAUGGGCGCAAGCCUGAUGCAGCCAUGCCGCGUGUGUGUAGAAGGCCUUCGGGUUGUAAAGCACUUUCAGCGGGGAGGAAGGCGGUGAGGUUAAUAACCUCAUCGAUUGACGUUACCCGCAGAAGAAGCACCGGCUAACUCCGUGCCAGCAGCCGCGGUAAUACGGAGGGUGCAAGCGUUAAUCGGAAUUACUGGGCGUAAAGCGCACGCAGGCGGUCUGUCAAGUCGGAUGUGAAAUCCCCGGGCUCAACCUGGGAACUGCAUUCGAAACUGGCAGGCUAGAGUCUUGUAGAGGGGGGUAGAAUUCCAGGUGUAGCGGUGAAAUGCGUAGAGAUCUGGAGGAAUACCGGUGGCGAAGGCGGCCCCCUGGACAAAGACUGACGCUCAGGUGCGAAAGCGUGGGGAGCAAACAGGAUUAGAUACCCGGGUAGUC
This 465-nucleotide ribosomal RNA is filed under the name uncultured Klebsiella sp. Its description in RNAcentral is "bacterial SSU rRNA". It matches the Rfam family "Bacterial small subunit ribosomal RNA", at positions 338 to 795 of the family's 1533-position model. Lineage: Bacteria; Pseudomonadati; Pseudomonadota; Gammaproteobacteria; Enterobacterales; Enterobacteriaceae. The record is from RNAcentral.